RNAcentral lists this ribosomal RNA (472 nucleotides) under uncultured bacterium. Its description in RNAcentral is "bacterial SSU rRNA". It matches the Rfam family "Bacterial small subunit ribosomal RNA", at positions 355 to 825 of the family's 1533-position model. The record is from RNAcentral.
UGGGGAAUUGUUCGCAAUGGGCGCAAGCCUGACGACGCAACGCCGCGUGUGUGAAGAAGGCCUUCGGGUUGUAAAGCACUUUCGGCCGGAACGAAAUCGCGCGGAUUAAUAACUCGCGUGGAUGACGGUACCGGAAGAAGAAGCACCGGCUAACUACGUGCCAGCAGCCGCGGUAAUACGUAGGGUGCGAGCGUUAAUCGGAAUUACUGGGCGUAAAGGGUGCGCAGGCGGCCCCGCAUGUCAGGCGUGAAAUCCCCGGGCUUAACCUGGGAAUGGCGCUUGAAACUACGGGGCUGGAGUAUGGCAGAGGGAGGUGGAAUUCCACGUGUAGCGGUGAAAUGCGUAGAGAUGUGGAGGAACACCGAUGGCGAAGGCAGCCUCCUGGGCCAAUACUGACGCUCAUGCACGAAAGCGUGGGGAGCAAACAGGAUUAGAUACCCCAGUAGUCCCUGAGCGGGCUGGCAAGGCGCAU